AGAGUUUAAAUAGUGAGCAGGUGAUAUUGAGGGCAGGUGAGCUGAUUACUGCAAUGUGAGUCACCUGCAGUAAUCAGCUGAGUGCAGACAGGUGAAGCAGGGAGAGCAAGAGACAGGGACGAGGAGAGAUGACAGACAGAGUCAAGUUGCUUCACCUGCCUGCACUCCAUUUGCUGAUUACUGUAAUGAGUGUCACCUGCAGUAAUUAGUUCACUCCAUUGACUGUUCUGUACCUCACCUCCAGUAUUUAAGCUCUGUGCUUCCAGUCACUCAUUGCCAGAUCAUCGGCUCACAUCCCUCCAUGGCUUGUGCUGUGUUCCUGGAUUGUGGGUUUCCCCACCAAGCCUUCUAUCUUCUGCUGUGUUCCUGGAUUGUGGGUUUCCCCACCAAGCCUUCUACCUCUUGUCAGCUUCAGUCUCUUGGACUCAACUGAUUUUGCUGUCCUGGAUUUCUCUCUUGUGGGACUCUGUUCAACUCUUGUCUGUUUUUGGAUGCUCCCCAGUCUUCAGCCUGCCAGUUUUGUUUCCCCACUAGCUUCUGGGUUGUCCUAGCCUUUAGCUCUGUUUUCCCCUGGUUUUUGUAAGUACAUUGCUGUGUUGUUUGGUUCAGGUUAUUACUGUUUGGUUUUGUGGUUUUUGUAGGUUUGGUAGUGUAAUUUCUUUUAGUGUUGGUUGUGGUUUAGUUUGUCUGCUGGGGUCCAUUUCACGAAGCAGGUUCAACAAACUGUUGUUGGUUAAAUCAAGUCGGAGUAGUUUUCCCCGGAGUUAAGCACGUGCACCACAACUCUAACAAGCCAGUAUCAAUGGAGCGCCGAUUCGACGAGUCACCAUGGCAACGGGUAAGCAGAGGACGACACCGUUUGAAUUGGAAAUCUUCAUGUGCUUAUAUAGCGAGUUUGAACACGUUUUUAGAAAGAAGUGCAACACCGCUGCAGCUGCAAAUGAGGGGGAAACGGUGUGGGAGAACAUUGCUGCCCGAGUCAAUGUGUAAGUUGAAACCACAAUAAUAUUGCAGGGAAAACUGUUUAAUGGUAACCUGUUGUGUUAUUUCAUUUAGGUGCAAGAGGGAGACGGCCUGGGAGAGCAUUGCUGCCUGAGUCAAUGUGUGCAAUCCUGUGGGAGAGAAGCGUAUGUGGCAAACAGGCUGGGGACCUGGAACCUUUGACUGAAUUUUAAGUAACUAUACACCGGUUUCCGCACCAUCUUUCUAUCGGGACAGCGUAGCGGCCUAUUUACCUAUGGCACUGCUAGACAUCUACUACUAACUAUGUAGACAUACAUCAUGCACUGAACUACUGCCAAUGCUCAACCAUGUGUUCAAAGAAAAGUUCCUCAACAACUUCCAAUGCAAACUCUCAACAAAAAUAUUACAUAAACACAAUAACUAACUGUCCAACUUACAUGCCUCAACCAUUCUACUUUUAAUUACAUUACUCUUUAUUGAUAUGGAACUUAUCUAUCUGGAGGAACUAUCUGCCUGUGGCACGGAUAGCUAGACAUCUACUAGUAAUUAUGA
This is a long non-coding RNA of Amphiprion ocellaris (clown anemonefish), 1515 nucleotides long. RefSeq lists it as uncharacterized. The transcript is spliced from 3 exons. The record is from RefSeq and is a predicted model, not a curated record. Lineage: Eukaryota; Metazoa; Chordata; Actinopteri; Pomacentridae.